RNAcentral lists this ribosomal RNA (500 nucleotides) under uncultured bacterium. Its description in RNAcentral is "partial 16S ribosomal RNA". It matches the Rfam family "Bacterial small subunit ribosomal RNA", at positions 30 to 523 of the family's 1533-position model. The record is from RNAcentral.
AUUGAACGCUGGCGGAAUGCUUUACACAUGCAAGUCGAACGGCUGCACGGACUUCGGUCUGGUGGCGAGUGGCGAACGGGUGAGUAAUGUAUCGGAACGUGCCCAGUCGUGGGGGAUAACGCAGUGAAAAUUACGCUAAUACCGCAUACGAUCUAUGGAUGAAAGCGGGGGAUCGCAAGACCUCGCGCGAUUGGAGCGGCCGAUAUCAGAUUAGGUAGUUGGUGGGGUAAAGGCCCACCAAGCCAACGAUCUGUAGCUGGUCUGAGAGGACGACCAGCCACACUGGAACUGAGACACGGUCCAGACUCCUACGGGAGGCAGCAGUGGGGAAUUUUGGACAAUGGGCGAAAGCCUGAUCCAGCCAUUCCGCGUGCAGGAUGAAGGCCCUCGGGUUGUAAACUGCUUUUGUACAGAACGAAAAGGUUUCUACUAAUACUAGGAGCUCAUGACGGUACUGUAAGAAUAAGCACCGGCUAACUACGUGCCAGCAGCCGCAGUAA